This 554-nucleotide ribosomal RNA is filed under the name Corythoichthys amplexus (brown-banded pipefish). Its description in RNAcentral is "partial 16S ribosomal RNA". It matches the Rfam family "Bacterial large subunit ribosomal RNA", at positions 1817 to 2579 of the family's 2925-position model. The record is from RNAcentral. Lineage: Eukaryota; Metazoa; Chordata; Actinopteri; Syngnathiformes; Syngnathidae.
CGCCUCUUGCACUCACAGUAUAAGAGGUCCUGCCUGCCCCGUGACCACGUGUUCAACGGCCGCGGUAUUUUAACCGUGCAAAGGUAGCGCAAUCACUUGUCUUUUAAAUGAAGACCCGUAUGAAUGGCAAGACGAGGGCUUAACUGUCUCCCUCCCUAGGUCAAUGAAAUUGAUCUCCCCGUGCAGAAGCGGGGAUAAAAACAUAAGACGAGAAGACCCUGUGGAGCUUUAGACGAACAAGCAACCCUCGCUAAUAAUACUAAGUUAAGAUAAAUAAGCUCAUAGGAACUUGCUUGUGUGUUUUCAGUUGGGGCGACCGCGGGGUAGAGAGAAACCCCCGUGAAGAUUAGGAGUUACAAACUCUACAAGUAAGAGAGUCAUCUCUAGACACCAAAAUUUUUGACUUAUGAUCCGGUAUAACCGAUUGACGGACCGAGUUACCCCAGGGAUAACAGCGCAAUCCCCUUUAAGAGUCCUUAUCGACAAGGGGGUUUACGACCUCGAUGUUGGAUCAGGGUAUCCUAAUGGUGAAGCCGCUAUUAANNNNUCGUUYG